Molecule: ribosomal RNA, 1235 nt
Filed under: Triticum aestivum (bread wheat)
Lineage: Eukaryota; Viridiplantae; Streptophyta; Magnoliopsida; Poales; Poaceae
Description: partial small subunit ribosomal RNA
Source: RNAcentral
CCUCAGCAUCCAUCCCCUUCCUCACCCCCCAACCCCCCAAUCCUCUUCCAAAGCGACGACGGAAGAAGCCUAGCCCUAUAGCCAUCAAGCCAUGGCCGCCAAGGACCCAUCGUAUCUCGAGACCACUACUCUCCUUAGUCAAGAGAUCCAGCAAAAGGAGCUUCGCUUCAAAUUGUACUUGUUCCAGCACACUCAAGGCGAGCCAAAUCGGAACGAGCGCGCUGUAUCGUCUUUGCAUGCCCCCCAUGAGUUUGGGUCCAUCGUCGUUCAUGACUGGACCAUACGGGAUGGUCCUAACCUCCAAGAUAAAAUUGUUGCGCGCGCCCAAGGACUGCAUCUCGGGGCCGGUAUGAACGAAACAAACUGGUUUACCAGUUUCAACAUAAUUUUCACCGAUGAGAGGUUCAAGGGAUCCACUCUUCAGGUGCUCGGAACUACGAGCAUAAGAGAUGGUGAAUGGGCCAUCACUGGUGGCACCGGAGAGUUUGCCUUUGCGCAGGGUGUUGCCACUCACAUAAAAAGCAAGGAACGUGGUGGUGCUGGCCGUGACUGGGAGCUCCGAAUCCGCGCUACGUGCCUCACCUUCCCCAAACCGGUCCUUGUAACCAAGAUUGGACCAUGGGGUGGGCAUGGAGGAAAAGAAUUUGAUAUCCGAGAGUCAGUACCUCAACAUCUAGAAAGUGUGACAAUUAGAAGUGGUGUUGCAAUUGACUCAAUUGUGUUCUCCUACAUUGAUCAAGCUGGAAAGAAGCAAACUCUUGGUCCAUGGGGUGGCGAUGGUGAACUUACUGACACGAUCACUUUUGCCCCUUUAGAGAUUGUGAAGGAAGUUUCAGGAACAAGCGGUACUUUUGGUGGAGAUACUGUUGUGACAUCGCUUACUUUUGUCACAAAUGUGAGGACAUAUGGACCUUUUGGAAAACCAAAUGGUACUGCUUUCAGUGUCCCUCUUACGGAUACUAACAUUGUGGGCUUCUUCGUGCGUGCUGGAAGACUUGUUAAUGCGAUAGGAGUUUAUGCGUGUCCUUCUGUUCAAAAUUAUUAGUACAUACAUUUUUCAAGAAUAACUAGAGCUUUGGCCGGCAUCUUAUGGGUUGCCGUGGUCUCAUGUAUCACUACUUGUUUCCCUUUUUGCAUUUAUUGUCUGGAAUGCAUAUCCUAGCCUCCUGUUUCUGACUAGAUCAGCAUCACCAAUCUCACUGUACUAGUUUCUGAAGUGGGCAGACAUAAUCGGG